UACGUAGGGGGCAAGCGUUGUCCGGAUUUAUUGGGCGUAAAGAGCGUGUAGGCGGCUAGAUAGGUCCGUUGUGAAAACUCGAGGCUCAACCUCGAGACGUCGAUGGAAACCAUCUGGCUAGAGUGCGGAAGAGGAGAGUGGAAUUCCUGGUGUAGCGGUGAAAUGCGCAGAUAUCAGGAAGAACACCCGUGGCGAAGGCGGCUCUCUGGUACGUGACUGACGCUGAGACGCGAAAGCGUGGGGAGCAAACAGG
RNAcentral lists this ribosomal RNA (253 nucleotides) under uncultured bacterium. RNAcentral's name for it is "partial 16S ribosomal RNA". It matches the Rfam family "Bacterial small subunit ribosomal RNA", at positions 524 to 776 of the family's 1533-position model. The record is from RNAcentral.